This 283-nucleotide long non-coding RNA is filed under the name Rattus norvegicus (Norway rat). RNAcentral describes it as "long non-coding RNA NONRATT002008". Lineage: Eukaryota; Metazoa; Chordata; Mammalia; Rodentia; Muridae. The record is from RNAcentral.
AGCCAACGAGGUCAGGAAAGACAGAAAGGGAAACGCGAUGGGCCCUGGUCAUCCGGCCACAGGUGACUCCUAGAAAACCCGACAGCCUGCUUGCAUCUGAUGAAAUCGGCCAGUCAUCCAGCCAGCCAUGUCUUACACUCCGGGGAUUGGUGGGGACCCUGCCCAGCUGGCGCAACGCAUCUCCUCUAACAUCCAAAAGAUCACACAGUGCUCCGCGGAAAUACAAAGGACUCUGAAUCAACUGGGAACACCUCAGGAUACACCGGAGUUGAGGCAACAGCUG